UACGUAGGGGACAAGCGUUGUCCGGAUUUACUGGGCGUAAAGGGCACGCAGGCGGUUUUUUAAGUCAGAUGUGAAAGGUCCCGGCUCAACCGGGGAACGGCAUUUGAAACUGGAGAACUUGAGUAUUGGAGAGGCAAGUGGAAUUCCUAGUGUAGCGGUGAAAUGCGUAGAGAUUAGGAGGAACACCAGUGGCGAAGGCGGCUUGCUGGACAAAUACUGACGCUGAGGUGCGAAAGCGUGGGGAG
This 245-nucleotide ribosomal RNA is filed under the name uncultured Acetobacterium sp. Its description in RNAcentral is "partial 16S ribosomal RNA". It matches the Rfam family "Bacterial small subunit ribosomal RNA", at positions 524 to 768 of the family's 1533-position model. The record is from RNAcentral. Lineage: Bacteria; Bacillati; Bacillota; Clostridia; Eubacteriales; Eubacteriaceae.